RNAcentral lists this ribosomal RNA (871 nucleotides) under uncultured crenarchaeote. RNAcentral's name for it is "bacterial SSU rRNA". It matches the Rfam family "Archaeal small subunit ribosomal RNA", at positions 1 to 879 of the family's 1478-position model. Lineage: Archaea; Thermoproteati; Thermoproteota. The record is from RNAcentral.
UUCCGGUUGAUCCUGCCGGACCUGACUGCUAUCGGAUUGAUACUAAGCCAUGCGAGUCAUUGUAGCAAUACAAGGCAGACGGCUCAGUAACGCGUAGUCAACCUACCCUAUGGACGGGAAUAACCUCGGGAAACUGAGUAUAAUGCCCGAUAGAACAUUAUACCUGGAAUGGUUUAUGUUCCAAAUGAUUUAUCGCCGUAGGAUGGGACUGCGGCCUAUCAGUUUGUUGGUGAGGUAAUGGCCCACCAAGACUAUUACAGGUACGGGCUCUGAGAGGAGUGGCCCGGAGAUGGGUACUGAAACACGGACCCAGGCCCUAUGGGGCGCAGCAGGCGAGAAAACUUUGCAAUGUGCGAAAGCACGGCAAGGUUAAUCCGAGUGGUUUCUGCUAAAGGAACCUUUUGUUAGUCCUAAAAACACUAACGAAUAAGGGGUGGGCAAGUUCUGGUGUCAGCCGCCGCGGUAAAACCAGCACCUCAAGUGGUCAGGAUGAUUAUUGGGCCUAAAGCAUCCGUAGCCGGCUCUGUAAGUCUUCGGUUAAAUCUGUACGCUCAACGUACAGGCUGCCGGGAAUACUGCAGAGCUAGGGAGUGGGAGAGGUAGACGGUACUCGGGAGGAAGUGGUAAAAUGCUUUGAUCUAUUGAUGACCACCUGUGGCGAAGGCGGUCUACCAGAACACGUUCGACGGUGAGGGAUGAAAGCUGGGGGAGCAAACCGGAUUAGAUACCCGGGUAGUCCCAGCUGUAAACGAUGCAGACUCGGUGAUGCGCUGGCUUGUGGCCAGUGCAGUGCCGCAGGGAAGCCGUUAAGUUUGCCGCCUGGGAAGUACGUACGCAAGUAUGAAACUUAAAGGAAUUGGCGGGGGAGCAC